Molecule: long non-coding RNA, 1580 nt
Organism: Esox lucius (northern pike)
Lineage: Eukaryota; Metazoa; Chordata; Actinopteri; Esociformes; Esocidae
Source: Ensembl
CCCUGUCAUGCUAGCAUCCACCUCCAACUUAAAAGGUUUGUCGAAUUUAGGGGCAGCUAGCACUGGGGCACUACAAAGCAGCGCUUUAGCUGACUCGAAGGCCGAGUCACAUUCUGCAGACCAUUUAUACGGCACUUUGGGACUAAGCAAGGACGUCAGGGGAACAACUACCGCUGAGAAGUUCUUGCAGUAGUACCCCCCCAUUCCUAGGAACUGACGCAACUGAGGGUUACAGUAGCCUUGCCGAACUCACAUUUGGCCAAAUUAAGGGUUAGCGAGGCCUUCUCCAAGCGCUGAAGCACCAUCUUCAACGUAGAGAGAUGGUCAGACCAAGUAGGCGAAUGGACUACCACAUCAUCUAGGUAAGCAGUACAAUUUGGUACAUCAGCAAACACAAUGUUAACCAACCGCUGAAAUGUUGUCGGAGCGUUGGACAUACCAAAAGGCAUUACAGUGUACUGCACGAAGUUGUCAGGUGUCACGAAGGCUGAAAUAUCUGAAGCACGAGGGGUCAGAGGCACUUGCCAGUAACCUUUCAGCAAGUUCAACUUACUCACGUAUUUAGCGGAGCCUAUCCUGUCGAUACAGUCCUCCAUCCAAGGCAGUGGGAAUGAAUCCGGUACCGUGACAGAAUUCACACGACGAUAGUCCAUGCAUAAGCGGGACGUACCAUCUGGCUUAGGAACAAGAAUACAUGGAGAACUCCAGGAGCUGUUACUGGGCUUAGCCAUGUCAUUCUUUAACAAGUACUCAACCUCACCUUCCAUUAUUUCUCUUUUUCAAGCGUUUACUCGAUAAGGAUGUUCCACAAAUGUGGUUGCUGACAUGUUAUCGCAUACUCACUAUGUGUAGGAAUUGUGCAUGUUUGCUAUAGUUGCAAACUGAGGGUUUGCAUCUUUUGGGGUGGGCGUGUUAAGUCCCCAGUGCUUUCUUUUGCUUUGUGUUCGUAUGUGUUUUUGUCCCUUGGUGUUCUAUGUGGUGGUUGCAGGCUAAUUGGCUUCCUGAUCGCCGGUUGCAGCUGAUUGGUCGGUUUUGGGCUGAUUGGAGAGCCCCUACGCCAGCUCGUCAGUGGUUAUAGCUGGUUUAGCCUGCAUAUAAGCCACAGUUCUGGUAUCUCACGGGAGAGUCACACCUGCUGUUGCUUUCGGUCUGUGAGGUAGAAAGACCGUUUGUGAUUAAUGAUUAAGUACAUUGUGUGUUGUGGCAAUUGUUUGUGUUAAAAUCUUUUUCAUUUGUUUCCAGGGGGAAGGGGAAAGCCAUUGUGCUUUAGGCAAGAGGCCCUGGGGCAUACACCUCCCGUAGCUUUACUCUCUCUAAAACCACUAGGUAAGACCUGGGCGGCCAACCCCCUGUAGUUUGAUUAGAGCACCAGCGCAAGAGGUGCUAGUUAAGUUAGAUCUCAGUUUGGCAGGUAAGGUAGGGUUAGAGGGUUUGGGUUUACUUUUAUGUUCUUUGCUUUGGUUCCGUCCAGCCCCUUUUUCCUGAAUUACCGUUGUGUUAAUUAAAUAGUACUGUGAACGGUAGUCCUGCCUCUGUCGUCCAUACUCGCACCCACGACCCCAUUCUCAUUCUGUCAAGUC